CCCAGCAAAGAGUUACACCAAAGAUUUCCUUCCUUCCUUCCUUUUUUCCUUCCUUUCUUCCUUCUUUCUUUCCUUCCUUCCUUUUUUCCUUCCUUUCUUCCUUCUUUCUUUCCUUCCUUCCUUUUUUCCUUUCUUCCUUCCUUCCUUCCUAUCUUCCUUCUUUCCUUCCUUCCUUUUUUCCUUUCUUCCUUCCCUCCUUCCUUCUUUUUUCUUCCUUUCUUCUUUCUUUCUUUCUUUCUUUCUUUCUUUCUUUCUUUCUUUCUUUCUUUCUUUCUUUCUUUCUUUCUUUCUUUCUUUCUUUCUUUCUUUCUUUCUUUCUUUCUUUCUUUCUUUCUUUCUUUCUUUCUUUCUUUCUUUCUUUCUUUCUUUCUUUCCUUCUCUCCUUUCUUUCCUUCUUUCUUUCUUUCUACCUUCCUCCCUAUCUUUUUUCUCUCCUUUCUUUCCUUCUUUCUUUUCCUGUUUCUUUGUUUCUUCCUUUUGUUCUUUCUUCCUUCCUUCCUUCCUUUAUUUCUUUUUUCUUCCUUCCUUCCUCCCUCCCUAUCUUUCUUUCUCUCCUUUCUUUCCCUGUUUCUUUGUUUCUCUCUUCCUUCCUUCCUUCUUCCUUCCUUCCUUUCUUUCUCCUCUAUCUUUCUUUCUUUCUACCUUCCUCCCUAUCUUUCUUUUUCUCCUUUCCUUCUUUCUUUCCCUGUUUCUUUCUUUUGUUCUUUCUUUCUUCCUUCCUUUAUUUCUUUUUUUCUUUCUUCCUUCCUCCCUCCCUCCCUAUCUUUCUUUCUCUCCUUUCUUUCCCUGUUUCUUUGUUUCUCUCUUCCUUCCUUCCUUUCCUUCUUUCUUUCUUUUGUUCUUCCUUCCUUCCUUCCUUUCUUUCUCUUCUUUCUUUCUUUCUUUCUUUCUUUCUUUCUUUCUUUCUUUCUACCUUCCUCCCUAUCUUUCUUUCUCUCCUUUCCUUCUUUCUUUCCCUGUUUCUUUCUUUUGUUCUUUCUUUCUUCCUUCCUUUAUUUCUUUUUUCUUUCUUCCUUCCUUCCUCCCUCCCUCCCUAUCUUUCUUUCUCUCCUUUCUUUCCCUGUUUCUUUGUUUCUCUCUUCCUUCCUUCCUUUCCUUCUUUCUUUCUUUUGUUCUUCCUUCCUUCCUUCCUCCCUCCCUCCCUCCUUCCCUCUCUCUCUCUCUCUCUCUCUCUCUCUCUCUCUCUCUCUCUCUCUCUCUCUCUCUCUCUCUCUCGCUUUCUUGCUUGCUUUUUUUUUUAAACCCUUACCUUUUGUCUUGGAGUCAAUACUGUGUAUUGGCUCCAAGGGUGAAGAGUGGUAAGGGCUAGGCAAUGGGGGUCAAGUGACUUGCCCAAGGUCACACAGCUGGGAAGUGUCUGGGGCCAGAUUUUAACCUAGGACCUCCCUAGGUCUGGCUCUCAAUCCACUGAGCUACCCAGCUUCCCCCUCUUUCUUUCUUUCUUUCUUUCUUUCUUUCUUUCUUUCUUUCUUUCUUUCUUUCUUUCUUGCAUGCUUGCUUGCUUGCUUGCUUUCUCUCAAUU
RNAcentral lists this long non-coding RNA (1522 nucleotides) under Monodelphis domestica (gray short-tailed opossum). RNAcentral describes it as "lncRNA (ENSMODG00000048558.1)". Lineage: Eukaryota; Metazoa; Chordata; Mammalia; Didelphimorphia; Didelphidae. The record is from RNAcentral.